This 460-nucleotide long non-coding RNA is filed under the name Heterocephalus glaber (naked mole-rat). Its description in RNAcentral is "lncRNA (ENSHGLG00100045359.1)". Lineage: Eukaryota; Metazoa; Chordata; Mammalia; Rodentia; Bathyergidae. The record is from RNAcentral.
GGAAAGCUGAAGAUUGCAUACACACAUGCAGGCUGGGAGAGCGGAGGAACGUUUGGGAACAUGGCACAGGUCGCCAUCUUUAAAGCAGAAAGACCAGGCUUUCACUAGACACUGAAUCACCUGGCACCUUGACUCUGGCAUCUUGACUUCCUGCCUUCAGAGCGACCUUUCAACUUCUAGACCCAUUCAUCUAUUCAUUCAUACAUGUAUAGCUGGUGCCAGAAAAUGAAACUACAACAGUGGAUAAGACUAAUACCACAACUCUAUUCAUGGAGUUGAAAGUCUACAGAGAGGAAUUGUUUCAGGUAUGCUCAUGCUGCCCAAGGUGAAGACCCAGCCUGACUCAUUCAGUCAGAGCCUCGGACCUCUGAGCCUGGACAAUGUAUGCUUUGUUUUGAAAUAAACCAAACUGCCAGGAAAUGAAAAUUUUGCUGAUAUUAAAGACAUUUCCAACAGCUCA